AAAUGGUUCCCUCCCGCUUUGUGUUACAAAGCAACCAACCGAUACAACCAACGAUAGGUGCUGGGGCAGAAGCAACACAGUCACGUCCAAAAGAAAUAAAAGAGAAAAUACAAAAGUAACAAAUGCCGACAACGGUGGAUUGACAAAAGCGAAGAAGCCUCGCGACCACUGCGUCCACCAGAGAUCUCCCACCAAGCUCUUAGGCUCCGAAGCGCCGGUACCAAUCAACACCUUCAAGAAGGGACACGACGAUGACGACAUUGUUGCCAAGGGUUCCCCCCGGUACACGGUGACGAGAGAGGAAGGGUAGCCACUGACGCCCUCCAGGAAUAUCCGGCGGAACCCUCAAGCGCCACCAUGUCGGUGUCGGCCAGUCCGACAGGGAUUUCCCGAUCCCAACCUUCACCUCGGGCGCUUCGGAGGUCGCCACCAAACCGACACCACCCUGCGCCAACACGGCCUUGAAGCUUGCCCUGCUGUCUCACCACGGCCCGCGACGUAGGACCUGCACAACGAAGAAGAGGAGCCGGGACUCGGAGUAGUAGCACCGUCAGCACGCGGGAGGGCCCAACCUCCACCGUCACCGACGGGAUCCGGCCGGACGCAACAGCAGGAGCAUACCAGGCCCGCUAGGCCCUGAAAUGCCCGUAAAGCUCUCGUCGUCGUGUUGCAAAAGGCAUGCCAUCGGCGUCGCCGCUCCCUGUCUGAGCUGCUCCACCUCUUCACCGCGUCAGAGACAGCGAAGCCACGCCGGCACCGGCCUGCUAGGACCCAGAUGGGCCCCUAAGGGCCCAGAUCUGGGCCGGGGUCGCACCGCCGGCCACACAACGCCACCAGGCCGCCC
This 844-nucleotide long non-coding RNA is filed under the name Triticum aestivum (bread wheat). RNAcentral's name for it is "long non-coding RNA (TAES_LNC002652)". The record is from RNAcentral. Lineage: Eukaryota; Viridiplantae; Streptophyta; Magnoliopsida; Poales; Poaceae.